UGUCCUCCAUCGGAGAUCUAUAUUGAGCAGAUUCUUUUUGGUGUUGGGUGGUGGAACCGGAGCUUGCUCCAUCCACUCCAUGCAUUGACCUGGUAUUACAGUGCUUCCAGGACUGGUGC
RNAcentral lists this small nuclear RNA (119 nucleotides) under Crocodylus porosus (Australian saltwater crocodile). RNAcentral's name for it is "U2 spliceosomal RNA (ENSCPRG00005016494.1)". It matches the Rfam family "U2 spliceosomal RNA", at positions 67 to 185 of the family's 192-position model. From Rfam's summary of the family: U2 is a small nuclear RNA (snRNA) component of the spliceosome (involved in pre-mRNA splicing). Complementary binding between U2 snRNA (in an area lying towards the 5' end but 3' to hairpin I) and the branchpoint sequence (BPS) of the intron results the bulging out of an unpaired adenosine, on the BPS, which initiates a nucleophilic attack at the intronic 5' splice site, thus starting the first of two transesterification reactions that mediate splicing. Lineage: Eukaryota; Metazoa; Chordata; Crocodylia; Crocodylidae. The record is from RNAcentral.